RNAcentral lists this ribosomal RNA (492 nucleotides) under uncultured bacterium. Its description in RNAcentral is "partial 16S ribosomal RNA". It matches the Rfam family "Bacterial small subunit ribosomal RNA", at positions 29 to 507 of the family's 1533-position model. The record is from RNAcentral.
AGUGAACGCUGGCGGUAGGCCUAACACAUGCAAGUCGAACGGCAGCACAGUAAGAGCUUGCUCUUACGGGUGGCGAGUGGCGGACGGGUGAGGAAUACAUCGGAAUCUACUUUUUCGUGGGGGAUAACGUAGGGAAACUUACGCUAAUACCGCAUACGACCUACGGGUGAAAGCAGGGGAUCUUCGGACCUUGCGCGAUUGAAUGAGCCGAUGUCGGAUUAGCUAGUUGGCGGGGUAAAGGCCCACCAAGGUGACGAUCCGUAGCUGGUCUGAGAGGAUGAUCAGCCACACUGGAACUGAGACACGGUCCAGACUCCUACGGGAGGCAGCAGUGGGGAAUAUUGGACAAUGGGCGCAAGCCUGAUCCAGCCAUACCGCGUGGGUGAAGAAGGCCUUCGGGUUGUAAAGCCCUGUUGUUGGGAAAGAAAAGCAGCAGGUUAAUACCCCGCUGUUCUGACGGUACCCAAAGAAUAAGCACCGGCUAACUUCGUG